GGCAGUUCUCGGGUGAUGCAUCCUAGAAUCAGGCUCCCUCCUCUCUGGUUCUGGGUGCAUCACCGGAGAACCUCA
This is a microRNA precursor of Myotis lucifugus (little brown bat), 75 nucleotides long. It matches the Rfam family "mir-9223 microRNA precursor family". The record is from Rfam. Lineage: Eukaryota; Metazoa; Chordata; Mammalia; Chiroptera; Vespertilionidae.